CUCGUAGGCGGUUUGUCGCGUCGGGAGUGAAAACCUCGGGCUUAACUCGGGGCUUGCUUUCGAUACGGGCAGACUGGAGGUAUGCAGGGGAGAACGGAAUUCCUGGUGUAGCGGUGAAAUGCGCAGAUAUCAGGAGGAACACCGGUGGCGAAGGCGGUUCUCUGGGCAUGACCUGACGCUGAGGAGCGAAAGUGUGGGGAGCGAAC
Molecule: ribosomal RNA, 206 nt
Filed under: uncultured bacterium
Lineage: Bacteria
Description: partial 16S ribosomal RNA
Rfam family: Bacterial small subunit ribosomal RNA
Source: RNAcentral